AAGCUGUAAUAUACAGUGCCGAGGACUGAGGAGAACAAAUUUGGGGUUAAACCAUAUAUGUUUUUUCUCACCACACACCCCUACUUAAUCUCUGUAGGGGUUUGGUGCAAAGAUGAAGUUCUUCAAAGUGACAAAGCUGUGUGUGGUGAGAAAAAACAUAUAUGGUUUAACCCCAAAUUUGUUCUCCUCAGUCCUCGGCACUGUAUAUUACAGCUUCAU
Molecule: non-coding RNA, 219 nt
Organism: Pelobates cultripes (western spadefoot toad)
Lineage: Eukaryota; Metazoa; Chordata; Amphibia; Anura; Pelobatidae
Source: the annotation of a GenBank genome assembly